GAUGAACGCUGGCGGCGUGCCUAAUACAUGCAAGUCGAGCGAACAGACGAGGAGCUUGCUCCUCUGACGUUAGCGGCGGACGGGUGAGUAACACGUGGAUAACCUACCUAUAAGACUGGGAUAACUUCGGGAAACCGGAGCUAAUACCGGAUAAUAUAUUGAACCGCAUGGUUCAAUAGUGAAAGACGGUUUUGCUGUCACUUAUAGAUGGAUCCGCGCCGAAUUAGCUAGUUGGUAAGGUAACGGCUUACCAAGGCAACGAUGCGUAGCCGACCUGAGAGGGUGAUCGGCCACACUGGAACUGAGACACGGUCCAGACUCCUACGGGAGGCAGCAGUAGGGAAUCUUCCGCAAUGGGCGAAAGCCUGACGGAGCAACGCCGCGUGAGUGAUGAAGGUCUUCGGAUCGUAAAACUCUGUUAGUAGGGAAGAACAAAUGUGUAAGUAACUAUGCACGUAUUGACGGUACCUACUCAGAAAGCCACGGCUAACUACGUG
RNAcentral lists this ribosomal RNA (497 nucleotides) under uncultured bacterium. RNAcentral describes it as "partial 16S ribosomal RNA". It matches the Rfam family "Bacterial small subunit ribosomal RNA", at positions 28 to 507 of the family's 1533-position model. The record is from RNAcentral.